Molecule: non-coding RNA, 113 nt
Organism: Acanthosepion pharaonis
Lineage: Eukaryota; Metazoa; Mollusca; Cephalopoda; Sepiida; Sepiidae
Source: the annotation of a GenBank genome assembly
UUAUGGCCAUAUCACAUUGGAACACCUGUUCCCAUACAACCACCGAAGUUAAGCAACAUUAAGCCUGUUCAGUACCUAUAUGGGUGACCGCUUGGGAAUAUCAGGUGCUGUAA